GACGAACGCUGGCGGCGUGCUUAACACAUGCAAGUCGAACGGAAAGGCCCUGCUUUUGUGGGGUGAUCGAGUGGCGAACGGGUGCGUAACAGGUAAGUAACCUGACCUAGACUUUGGGAUAACUUCAGGAAACUGGGGCUAAUACCGGAUAGCAGCCCAUGCUCCAUGGUGGGGGUUGGAACGUUUCGGCGGUUGGGGAUGGACUCGCGGCUUAUCAGCUUGUUGGUGGGGUAGUGGCUUACCAAGGCUUUGACGGGUCGCCGGCCUGAGAGGGUGACCGGCCACAUGGGGACUGAGAUACGGCCCAGAGUCCUACGGGAGGCAGCAGUGGGGAAUAUGGCACAAUGGGCGGAAGCCGGAUGCAGCAGCGCCGCGUUCGUGAUGACGGCCUGCGGGGUGUAAACCGCUUUCGCCUGUGACGAAGCUUGAGUGACGGUAAUGAGUAAAUAAGCACCGGCUAACUACGUG
RNAcentral lists this ribosomal RNA (468 nucleotides) under uncultured bacterium. RNAcentral's name for it is "partial 16S ribosomal RNA". It matches the Rfam family "Bacterial small subunit ribosomal RNA", at positions 28 to 507 of the family's 1533-position model. The record is from RNAcentral.